AGAAGAUAAGUAACAGUUUCCAUAUAGACACAAUAGAUUAAUUGAAAAGGGGGAGUUUUUACUGGUCUCCU
Molecule: small RNA, 71 nt
Filed under: Salix viminalis (osier)
Lineage: Eukaryota; Viridiplantae; Streptophyta; Magnoliopsida; Malpighiales; Salicaceae
Source: RNAcentral